AUGCCGCUGGAGCGCUUCGACCUGCUCAUCGCGUCGCGGGAGCUGGUCCGGGCCUCCAACCCUCCCCCGGGCUCGCCGGCCGUGCACGCCGCCUCCAACGUCGACCUCGUCCUCGGCCCCUUGCCCAUCUACCUCGUCAGCAUCUACCCACCUCCGCCGUGCGGCCUGGACCCCGUGCUCGCCACCGUUCGCGCCGUGCUCCCGGCCUACCUCUCCCGCUUCUUCCCCUUCGCCGGCCGCGUCGUUCUAACAUGCGUCACCCGGACACCAACGUCCCCGAGGUCACCUGCUCCAACGCCGGCGCCGAGCUUGUCGUCGCCGACGCUGCCGGGGUCCGCCUCGCCGCCGUCGACUUUGCGCGCUUCGACGGCUCGCUCGGGAUGA
Molecule: ribosomal RNA, 384 nt
Filed under: Triticum aestivum (bread wheat)
Lineage: Eukaryota; Viridiplantae; Streptophyta; Magnoliopsida; Poales; Poaceae
Description: partial small subunit ribosomal RNA
Source: RNAcentral